RNAcentral lists this ribosomal RNA (429 nucleotides) under Chloroflexota bacterium. Its description in RNAcentral is "Chloroflexi bacterium partial 16S ribosomal RNA". It matches the Rfam family "Bacterial small subunit ribosomal RNA", at positions 355 to 776 of the family's 1533-position model. Lineage: Bacteria; Bacillati; Chloroflexota. The record is from RNAcentral.
UGGGGAAUAUUGCACAAUUGGCGCAAGCCUGAUGCAGCCAUGCCGCGUGUAUGAAGAAGGCCUUCGGGUUGUAAAGUACUUUCAGUCGGGAGGAAGGUGUCAAGGUUAAUAACCUUGGCAAUUGACGUUACCGACAGAAGAAGCACCGGCUAACUCCGUGCCAGCAGCCGCGGUAAUACGGAGGGUGCAAGCGUUAAUCGGAAUUACUGGGCGUAAAGCGCACGCAGGCGGUUGAUUGAGUCAGAUGUGAAAUCCCCGGGCUUAACCCGGGAAUUGCAUCUGAUACUGGUCAGCUAGAGUCUUGUAGAGGGGGGUAGAAUUCCAGGUGUAGCGGUGAAAUGCGUAGAGAUCUGGAGGAAUACCGGUGGCGAAGGCGGCCCCCUGGACGAAGACUGACGCUCAGGUGCGAAAGCGUGGGGAGCAAACAGG